RNAcentral lists this ribosomal RNA (490 nucleotides) under uncultured bacterium. RNAcentral's name for it is "partial 16S ribosomal RNA". It matches the Rfam family "Bacterial small subunit ribosomal RNA", at positions 30 to 507 of the family's 1533-position model. The record is from RNAcentral.
AUUGGACGCUGGCGGCAGGCCUAACACAUGCAAGUCGAACGGUAACAGGAAACAGCUUGCUGUUUCGCUGACGAGUGGCGGACGGGUGAGAAAUGUCUGGGAAACUGCCUGAUGGAGGGGGAUAACUACUGGAAACGGUAGCUAAUACCGCAUAACGUCGCAAGACCAAAGAGGGGGGCCCUCGGGCCUCUUGCCAUCGGGUGUGCCCAGAUGGGAUUAGCUUGUUGGUGGGGUAACGGCUCACCAAGGCGACGAUCCCUAGCUGGUCUGAGAGGAUGACCAGCCACACUGGAACUGAGACACGGUCCAGACUCCUACGGGAGGCAGCAGUGGGGAAUAUUGCACAAUGGGCGCAAGCCUGAUGCAGCCAUGCCGCGUGUAUGAAGAAGGCCUUCGGGUUGUAAAGUACUUUCAGCGGGGAGGAAGGGAGUAAAGUUAAUACCUUGGCUCAUUGACGUUACCCGCAGAAGAAGCACCGGCUAACUCCGUG